This 621-nucleotide unclassified non-coding RNA is filed under the name Hevea brasiliensis (rubber tree). Lineage: Eukaryota; Viridiplantae; Streptophyta; Magnoliopsida; Malpighiales; Euphorbiaceae. The record is from RNAcentral.
CUGGAUUCUGGUGACGGAGUGAGUCACACUGUUCCGAUUUAUGAAGGUUAUGCCCUCCCUCAUGCUAUCCUCCGUUUGGAUCUCGCUGGGCGUGAUCUCACAGAUUGUUUAAUGAAGAUCCUCACCGAGCGAGGCUACACUUUCACGACUACUGCUGAACGAGAAAUUGUAAGGGAUAUCAAGGAGAAGUUAGCCUAUAUCGCUCUUGAUUUCGAGCAGGAGAUGGAGACAGCGAAGACUAGCUCUGCUGUGGAGAAGAGUUAUGAACUGCCCGAUGGGCAGGUGAUUACGAUCGGGGCUGAGAGAUUUAGAUGCCCAGAGGUCCUCUUCCAGCCUUCCUUGAUCGGCAUGGAAGCUGCUGGGAUUCAUGAGACGACGUACAAUUCCAUCAUGAAAUGUGAUGUCGACAUCAGGAAAGAUUUGUACGGCAACAUUGUGCUGAGUGGGGGGUCUACCAUGUUCCCUGGCAUCGCUGAUCGUAUGAGCAAGGAAAUAACUGCGCUUGCCCCCAGCAGCAUGAAGAUCAAGGUGGUGGCGCCUCCUGAACGCAAAUAUAGUGUUUGGAUUGGAGGGUCCAUCCUUGCAUCGCUCAGCACGUUCCAGCAGAUGUGGAUUUCAAAG